Molecule: long non-coding RNA, 2445 nt
Organism: Passer domesticus (house sparrow)
Lineage: Eukaryota; Metazoa; Chordata; Aves; Passeriformes; Passeridae
Exons: 3
Source: RefSeq, a predicted model, not a curated record
UCAGUGAGGCACAAACAGCAGCAGGGACAGCAGUAGCAGCUACAGUAAGUUCUGGGGACAGCAUGAGGAUGAGCGGAGCAGGAACACCCAAGUAAGGGCCUAAAGAAGUCAUACAAAGAGCUGCUGAGUUCACUUGACUUGUUCAGCCUGGUGGAGAGAAGACCUCAUAGCUGCCUGCAGAUUCCUCACAAACAGAAGCGGAGGGGCUGGCACCAAUCUCUGCUCAGUUACAGAACCCAAGGGAACAGCAGGAAGCUGUAUCAGGGAAUGUUCAGGCAGGGUGUCGGGAAAUGGUUCUUCACCUGGAGGCUGGUUGGGUACUGGAACAGGUUCCCAGGGGAAGUGGUCACAGCACCAAGGCUGACAGAAUUCAAGAAGCAUUUGAACAUUCUCAGGCACAAUCCUUUGGAUAGGGCUGUGUGAUAUACACAAUGAUCCUGAAAAGUCCCUUCCAACUCAGGAGAUUCUGUGGUUCACUGAAGAGACCUGGAGGCAGCUCUCUUAAGCAGGGUGAUAUGUCAAGGGUGUUGCCACAGGCAACCACAGCAUAUUUCAGUGGCACAGGAAUCUUCUGUUGGUGAGGAUAGCAGUAACAGGGGUGGGUAACACUGGGGUGAACAGGAGAAGAAGCUGGGCAGGGAGACCAUGAAAGGACACCGGGCGGUCGAGGUCACAUGCAGGCCGCUGAUCUGGAGCAGCCUGUUGAUGAGGCCUUCUUGGUCUGGCUGCAGGGAACAUCAUCCUCACCACCUCUCAUCCUGAUGGGGGAGUCCAGCCAUCCAGACAUCAUCUGGGAGAGCAAUACAGCCAGCUGUAAGCAAUUCAGCACAUUCCUGGAGUGUGCAGAGGACAACUUCGUGGUCCAGGUCUGAAGAAAAAAUAAGAGAUGGUCUUAUUUCCUUAGCAACAAGAGUCAGGUGUGAUUUAUGCCACUGUGUGUUCCUGCAGCUGUCUCCAAGCAACAAAACAAACUGCAAAGCCAACUCAUGUAAGCACAGUGUGUGGAGGGGGUUGAGGGAAAAGUUUGGAGCAUAUAUACCUAUCCCUGGCAUCAAACAGGAGUUCUAGGAGCAAGUUGGUGCAAAAGAGUCAUGACUGAAUCUGAGAAGCCUGGGAAGAAGAUGGGUUUAAAGCAACCCAGACACAGCCACGAGGUCUGUAUGGAAAUUGUGGCCCACAAGUCUGGACAGCAGCAUCUGGGGACCCAAGCUCCCUCCAGCACCUCCAGAAUGGUGGAUGGCCACUCUAAGAUACACAUUCUCCACAUCCCUCCCUCUCCUCUCCUCUCCUCAAAGCUUGUGAAGCAGACUUAAGGUCCACCAGGCACCUCCCCUUCCCGUAAAUCCACAAAGCUAUGGUUUGUCAUCAGGGGAGAGGUCAAGAGAAGAGCACUGUUGUAUGUCCCCUCUCUUUGUUGGAUGAAAAAGGUCAGAUGGGAUGAUGGCAGACAAGCACUCCUCCUCGAAAAGUGACCCAGUGCACUCAGGAAAGAAACAGUACAGAGACUGUGCUUCUGAACCCUUCAAGGCAGCUCAACACUGGACUCUUUAUGUCCCAAAAUCUACACUUUUUGCCUUUCCUUCCUUUCCCAUUGUUGUAGACCUGAAAAAGCAUCUGUGAGAUGUCUGUUCUUGACAUUGCUGAGAUGAGUUUCCAGCUCUUGUAGUAGCAGUUAAGUGUGUAUCUGGCAGUUUGGAACAGGGCAGGGGGGAAGGUUUGGGAUUGGUUUGGUUUGGUUUUUUUCUUUUUCUUUAACUUCCAGUGAACUGUGCUCAGAUUUGCAAAUUUCUCUCAAUGACAUACACAUUCUUUCCUGAACAUUUUUCUCCAGUAUGUGUGACUUGAAAAAGUGCCUAAUGAAAUGAUCUUCUGUGCUUGCACCAUAAACACACGUUAGCCCUAGAGGUACCAAUUCCCAGCUGAUACACAAAACCCAUCUUCAAGCUCUUGCUUCUUUACUCACUGUCUAAAAGAGUCAUUUCUCAUUCCCUGAUGAAGCUUUAACCAGUAAAGGAUCGCAAUGGCUCCAUUUAAAAUUUCCCUGAACAGCAAUAAAACAUUAUUAAUCCCUGCUCCCUCUCUUGUCCCAGAUCAACUAACAGCCAUCAUAAACACAGCAAACUGGGCUAUUUGUCUGUGCUUCAGCUCAUGUAGGAAUAAUUUUCUGUUUGAUUCUUCAAUCAGAUCUGCAGUCUUUCCAUCAGCUGCCUCUUUUAUUCUCAGCCCACACAAGACAGAAAAAUUGUCAUCUUUUAAAAGCAAAUAUUGUACCUUCCCAGUUACAUUUUCAUUUAAAAAAUAAAUCAAUAGAGUUUGUAACUGAUAACCAGAUUGUGAUUGCUUUUAAGAUUAUUCUAUCUUUCCCAUGAGAUAAUCAGACAGCACAACAAAAUACAUCUAUUUAUUAUGAGGAAAACUCACAUAUUCAAUCAGCCUGUUUUAAAA